AAACCAACGCCCUUCGGGGCUCCUUGGUGAAUCAUAAUAACUUAACGAAUCGCAUGGCCUUGCGCCGGCGAUGGUUCAUUCAAAUUUCUGCCCUAUCAACUUUCGAUGGUAGGAUAGUGGCCUACCAUGGUGGCAACGGGUAACGGGGAAUUAGGGUUCGAUUCCGGAGAGGGAGCCUGAGAAACGGCUACCACAUCCAAGGAAGGCAGCAGGCGCGCAAAUUACCCAAUCCCGAUACGGGGAGGUAGUGACAAUAAAUACUGAUACGGGGCUCUUUUGGGUCUCGUAAUUGGAAUGAGAACAAUUUAAAUCCCUUAACGAGGAACAAUUGGAGGGCAAGUCUGGUGCCAGCAGCCGCGGUAAUUCCAGCUCCAAUAGCGUAUAUUAAAGUUGUUGCAGUUAAAAAGCUCGUAGUUGAACCUUGGGUCUGGCUGGCCGGUCCGCCUCACCGCGAGUACUGGUCCGGCUGGACCUUUCCUUCUGGGGAACCUCAUGGCCUUCACUGGCUGUGGGGGGAACCAGGACUUUUACUGUGAAAAAAUUAGAGUGUUCAAAGCAGGCCUUUGCUCGAAUACAUUAGCAUGGAAUAAUAGAAUAGGACGUGUGGUUCUAUUUUGUUGGUUUCUAGGACCGCCGUAAUGAUUAAUAGGGAUAGUCGGGGGCGUCAGUAUUCAGCUGUCAGAGGUGAAAUUCUUGGAUUUGCUGAAGACUAACUACUGCGAAAGCAUUCGCCAAGGAUGUUUUCAUUAAUCAGGGAACGAAAGUUAGGGGAUCGAAGACGAUCAGAUACCGUCGUAGUCUUAACCAUAAACUAUGCCGACUAGGGAUCGGACGGGAUUCUAUAAUGACCCGUUCGGCACCUUACGAGAAAUCAAAGUUUUUGGGUUCUGGGGGGGG
RNAcentral lists this ribosomal RNA (897 nucleotides) under Penicillium chrysogenum. RNAcentral's name for it is "SSU rRNA". It matches the Rfam family "Eukaryotic small subunit ribosomal RNA", at positions 219 to 1123 of the family's 1831-position model. The record is from RNAcentral. Lineage: Eukaryota; Fungi; Ascomycota; Eurotiomycetes; Eurotiales; Aspergillaceae.